GAUGUGGCCAAAGAGAGCUGACAUGGCAAUGGUUGAUGUAGCAGAAAUUUUAUGCAAAUAGGAGCACAGAAAGACUUGGUAAGCACUUCUUGGUUUGGGGUGGAUUUGACCCAACCUGUCGAGUUUUAAAGUUGGAGGUGUUGGAAUGGGUUUCCGACGGCAGGAAUGGGCAGAUUGACAAUAGCAGAGCUGCUAUAAUUGAUCAGAUGCUGAAAAAAUCUAGAAAAUUUGCGAGCCCAGAAUCGGAUCAAGAUCUGAUGCAAUUGGAUCUUCUUUUCCGAGAAGCUGCAGGUGAUCGGAACAGUGUCAGAAGGGUCGCUCCCUGCCAGCAAGUGCUGUGCCGAUGGUGGCAAGGCUGCCUGGUAGCCGAACUGUGGUCAAUAUGUGGGAAGGGUGUUGCCAGCGAUGGGUUUUCUAUUUCUCACGAAUUUGUUUCUUUCUUUCCCUUUUUUUUGUCAUUUGGUCUGUUCUUUGUAGUGGGACUUUUUUCUCCCAUGAGCUAAUGGCCAACUGUUCUAUUUCAUCAUGGAGUAGGACUUUUGUUCCUAUUUGAUUUGAUUUGCAGUUUGUAUAACAAAUAUACACUUUUGAGAAAUGUAUA
RNAcentral lists this unclassified non-coding RNA (601 nucleotides) under Hevea brasiliensis (rubber tree). Lineage: Eukaryota; Viridiplantae; Streptophyta; Magnoliopsida; Malpighiales; Euphorbiaceae. The record is from RNAcentral.